Caenorhabditis elegans is the source of this 187-nucleotide non-coding RNA. The record is from Ensembl. Lineage: Eukaryota; Metazoa; Nematoda; Chromadorea; Rhabditida; Rhabditidae.
UCGCAUCCAUAUCUGUUCAUACCAGCUGAUCAGCGGCUGAGAGAGAAAACGACGCCACAGGAGAUGUCGCCGACGCAAGGGAAGAUACCCCCGGCGGCAGCCGGCGGGCACAUUGGCUAAUUGCGCAACGAUCGCAAGGUCGAUCACACUUUCCCAAUUCCAAAUGACCGUAAAAUGCGCCAAUCUA